GAAGAAACUGAAGCUUGGAGCAAUUAAGAAACAGGCCUACGAAAGUCUCCUAACUGGCUAGAGAUGAUGAAACUGCAGUUGGCACCCCUGGCCUGAUUGACACCAAAGCUCUAAUAUUUAAAAUGAAAUCAGGUUUCCCUACAGGAGCAAUUGUAUUUCCAAGAGUAUGCUAUUAUACUAAAUAUUCUGUAAGCUUUCUAUAACCUGUGAAACUGCUAUAUACUCUGAGGAACUCAGGAGCAGAGUACUGCCCGUCUCUUCAUCCCACCCCACCUUGAGAAAUUCUUAGAAACUGCAUGAUUUACAUCUUUUAACAUGUUUUUGUGCUUACCUAUAAGAUAAACUCUU
Long non-coding RNA from Fukomys damarensis (Damara mole-rat), 348 nucleotides. RefSeq lists it as uncharacterized. The transcript has 3 exons. Lineage: Eukaryota; Metazoa; Chordata; Mammalia; Rodentia; Bathyergidae. The record is from RefSeq and is a predicted model, not a curated record.